Ailuropoda melanoleuca (giant panda) is the source of this 3197-nucleotide long non-coding RNA. NCBI's taxonomy places the organism in Eukaryota, Metazoa, Chordata, Mammalia, Carnivora, Ursidae. The record is from Ensembl.
AUGGAGCUUCCUCGGGUCAAAACAGACAAUCCCCACCCCCAGCGCAGAGCUCGCUUCAGGUCAAACUCGAUUGUCACCCUCAGGGUCACGCCCACGGACCACGCCCGAGGCCCCGCUCGCACAGAUCCGAGGGUCUGGUUACCGUGGGCUCGGUUCCGGCUCCCUCCUCAGAAUUACCAGGCCCGGCUGGAACUCCCUGUUUCCUCCCUGCCCUCCCCUCCGGGACCAGCUUCCUAUUCUGCCCUCUCAGUCCGAGCUCCGGGUUCCCGCCUCCUCAGAGCCCCUAGGACCUACCAACCUCACCCCCGGCCAAGGAUCAGGCGUCUGCGCCUGCGCACUCCCUCGUGGGCCGGAGCUCCCAGGAGUCUACGGGGCGGUGCGUUAGUAGUCCGGCUGUCCAAGCUACCGGCUCUCGGGACCGUUUGUGUCAACGUCCGCGCUUUUCCAGAGUGGGCUACGUUUCUCACAGGCCCUGGGGGAGGUAGUGAACCUCAUCCUCCGGUUCAUUUUCCGCUAGGCUUGCGGUCACCGUUUUCCGUGUGGUAAGGUAGAGCUUCAUUUUUGCGGUUCUGGUGCUGAGGAAUCUGUCUGUGGACAAGAUCCCCGUGUGACUCAGUCUGUGCCUGUGAAAGACUUCGAGGCCCUAGUUAACCACGGUGGCCCACUGUUCUAAAGGAUGGCUUUUGUUCCGUUCAUGCCUUCAUCAGUGCACCCUGCAUGUAUUGUCCAGCCUACUGCUUAACGUAUUGAAGGAAUAGAGUACGUUAAGUGUAGUGCAUUCUUGACCCAGUUGUAAGUUCCACUUGGAAUUUUUUGUACUGGGUUUUCUUUCACUGCCUCUGUCAUUGCACCUUAUAACCACACUGUAUAGAAAUGCUAGUUGCACAAAAAUGGCUUUCAAAGGGAAGUUGAACAUUUGAGACCUAGAAUGAAGGUUACAAUUAAAAAGUACCACCCUGUGUUUAUUGUGGCGAUGUUAGAGCUGGAAUUGCCUCCAAGGCAGGGUCCUGGGAAGACAUGAUAUGGAGGCACCAAGAGUAGGAUUACUUCCUUUGAAUUUUCCCCUUGGCAGCUCCGUGGGGUCAGGUUGCAUAUUGCAGAUCGACAGCAUUUUUAUAGCUCUGUUGACAGAAAACUGCCGUGAACAUAGAUUCCCAGGCUUCAGUGGACGUGAGUUUUCCUUAUGAUACAGGGAAGAGUCAACAGUAUUCCAGUCUUUCUCAUAAUUCCAUUAGUGUGUGUUUAAUACAUAUCAUGGGGACUUGCUAGUGAUGAGGAAGUGUGUUCUUGUUUAGCCUGUCUGGGCUCCAGGAAAGGCCUGCUAUGUUGCGCUUCCCUUUUCCUUCCAAUUUUUGCUGUAUUCCAAAAGAAGAGCAAUGAGAGGAGAACAUUGUUAUAGUUACACAUCUUAAAGCCAAGCUAGAAGUCAUUUUGAGCUUUCUCUUUGUUUUAUGAAAUUUCAUUUUUGUUUUUCAGGAUAUAGAAUGACUUCAUCUGAAGUGCCCUGCCAAAUAGUGACUUAGACAUUUACCUAGAGAAGGUAAAUGGUCUCUAGGCCUUCUCUUCCCAGUUAAUGAUGGUACCGUGAGGAUGGAUCUCCUUUCCUAGUUACUCAUCAAAUGCUCUUCCUACAGUUAAUUUUCAUAUAGCCUAGUUACUCAUCAAAUGCUCUUCCUACAGUUAAUUUUCAUAUAGCCAACACCUCCCCUUGUAUGCUUUUUGUCGUGAGCAUUCUUGUGAUGCAGAAAUAGUACUUUUUCACUUUACACAGUGAUUUGUUAAGGAAGAGACCAAUGUUUAGGUAGAAUUAUACAUUUGAUACUUUAGAUAUUCUUCAGACACAUGAGUGGAAAAAUGGCAAGAUAGAUAGAUUGAUUGGUUUCAGUGUACUCUAUAAUGGUCUCUGAGUCUUGAGCAGGGGUCAGCAGACUUUGACCCAGCAGGCCAAAUCCAGCUUGUGUCCUAUUUUUUUUUGGCCUGUGAACUAAGACUGGUUUUAACAUUUUUCAGUGAUUGAAAACAUAUCAAAAGGAGAGCCUAUUUUGACAUGUGAAAAUUAUAUGAAUUUUAGAUUUCAAUGUCUACAAAUAAAGUUUUGAAUUUGGUCAGUUAAAAAGUUUGUGGAAAUUUGUUCUCUCUCUUGUUAAAUAAGCUCUACAUAAUAUAUUUGAUUUUGCCUUUAGGCCUACAAAGCCUAGCAUAUUUACUAUCUGGUCCUUUACAGAAGUUGAUGACCCUUAAUUUUAUUUAUUUAUUUUUAUUUAUUUUUUAAAAAGAUUUUAUUUAUUUAUUCGACAGAGAUAGAGACAGCCAGCGAGAGAGGGAACACAAGCAGGAGGAGUGGGAGAGGAAGCAGGCUCAUAGCAGAGGAGCCUGAUGUGGGGCUCGAUCCCAUAACGCCGGGAUCACGCCCUGAGCCGAAGGCAGACGCUCAACUGCUGUGCCACCCAGGCGCCCCUGAUGACCCUUAAUUUUAAAUCUUAGUUUUGCCAUUUAGUAUUUGUGGGUUUGGAUAAUAUGUUCAAUAUCUUUCUAUUCCAUAAUUUGUUUGUAAAAUGCAAAUAGUAGUAUGGAUUUCAUAGGGUUUUAUGAGGAUUAGGAGAGUUAAUAUUAAUAGGCCACUAGAACAGUGACUGACAAUAAGAAGUGCUUAAGUUAAAAACAUGUUAUUAUGUGGAUAAUUUAAGUCCACGUUCAUAGAUAAGGAGCAAUGAAAAUGAGAAGUUAAUUAUAAUAGGUAGUUGUAAGAAAGAAAAUGAGCCAUAUGCUCAGAUGGUCUAAAGCAGGGUGCCUGGGUGGCUCAGUCAGUUAACUGUCUGCCUUUGGCACAGGUCAUGAUUCCAGGGUCCUAGGAUCGAGCCCCAGGUCGGGCUCUCUGCUCAGUGGGGAACCUGCUUCUUCCUCUGCCUGCUGCUCUGCCUACUUAUGCUCUCUUUCUCUCUGUCAAAUAAAUAAAUAAAUAAAAUCUUUAAAAAAAUAAAACAGGAAUCCUUCACCUUAAAUGAUUUGCCUUCCAAUUGUAUACCUAAUUAUUGCAUAUUUAUUUUAUUAAUACAUAUUUUUCUUGGGGAAAAGUCUAUAAUUUUAUGAUACUAUCAAAGGUAUACAUGACCCAAACAAGUUUUGAACCACUAACUUAGUUAUAAUAACUUAUAAUUGGAAGUCAACUUUAGGAGGAGUUUGUCUAAAAAUAAUUU